GCGGACGUGGUGCACGGUGCACCGCUGCCUUCUAUUGCAGUCAAGACAUUGGCAGAGUUGUAAGGAGUAAGACGGGGCUCGACUCCCCGCGUUCGCA
Molecule: non-coding RNA, 97 nt
Organism: Mycena latifolia
Lineage: Eukaryota; Fungi; Basidiomycota; Agaricomycetes; Agaricales; Mycenaceae
Source: the annotation of a GenBank genome assembly